RNAcentral lists this ribosomal RNA (618 nucleotides) under Dalbergia miscolobium. RNAcentral describes it as "eukaryotic LSU rRNA". The stretch from base 223 to 378 matches the Rfam family "5.8S ribosomal RNA". The record is from RNAcentral. Lineage: Eukaryota; Viridiplantae; Streptophyta; Magnoliopsida; Fabales; Fabaceae.
GAGAGACCCGCGAACGCGUUUUACCACCCGGGGUGGUCGGAGCUGCUCGGCAGCCCGCCCUCCCCAGUGCCGGGACCGAGUCACGCUCUGCGGCCCCGUCCCGGCGCGAUAACAACAAACCCCGGCGCGGAAUGCGCCAAGGAAGCAACAACUGUACUGCGCGCCCCGUCGGCCCGGGAACGGUGCCCGUACGGGCGGUGCCGCGACACUGGAGUCCUAAACGACUCCCGGCAACGGAUAUCUCGGCUCUUGGAUCGAUGAAGAACGUAGCGAAAUGCGAUACUUGGUGUGAAUUGCAUAAUCCCGUGAACCAUCAAGUCUUUGAACAAAAGUUGCGCCCGAAGCCAUUAGGCUAAGGGCACGCCUGCCUGGGUGUCACCAAUCGCUGCCCCAAUCCCUGUGCCUCCGGCCACGGGGAGGGGCGAAUGCUGGCCUCCCGUGAGCACCGCCUUGCGGCUGGUCGAAAAUCGGGUUCGUGGUGGAUGCGGCAGCACCAUGACAGACGGUGGCUGAGUAAGUUCUCGAGGGCAGUCAUGCGUGUGAGCUCCACCGGCUCCGUACCCAGUGACCCGUGAGCGAGAUCGAUCGCCCAUGACGCGACCUCAGCUCGGGCGGGGC